Molecule: long non-coding RNA, 862 nt
Filed under: Citrus maxima (pomelo)
Lineage: Eukaryota; Viridiplantae; Streptophyta; Magnoliopsida; Sapindales; Rutaceae
Description: long non-coding RNA (CMAX_LNC001690)
Source: RNAcentral
CUUUUCCAAGAAGAAAAGAGCUGUAUUCGGGUCAUCAUGGAGUUGGUUCUCAUUUGCAGCAUAUACAUAGUUGAAUGGGCUUACUCCAACAUAAACCGGCUUUCCCUUGUGUCCUGUACUUACGGAUACUCCUCCUUUGCCAACACCAACACUGGUUCUUUUGUCAGGCUUUCCAGUGUUUACACCAACGCCCUUACCCCCAACAUUCACAUGGGUGCCACCACCGGGCUUUCCUUUCCCUGCAUCCACAUUGACACCACCCUUCCCUACGUUGACAGAGGUGCUUUUGUCUUCCAGCACAUCUGCAAAUAUAGUAACAAUAUUAGAAGAGACCUUUUAAUACAGACUAAGGGUUAGUCUCAUAAACAGUGGAUCUACGGCAAAUUUCUUCUCCUGAAUGAGAUUUUGAGCUGCUGAAAUUUUGGUGGGAACACGCUAAGAAAAUAUAUUCCACAUUUUUGACAUCUACCUGGCUUUAACAGGUAUGCUUUUCUUCCUCAUACUUAACUUAGUAAUCUCAAAAUUCUUUUAUGACUGAAAUUUUCAUAUCUCAGGUUUGAAGUGCAUAAAACUAAUUUUUUACUACAAUUAAAUUGAUGUAAGAGUGCUUGGACAUGAAAAUUCUGACCUGGCUGUAGAAGAUCUUUGACAGCUUUUGGCAUCGGGGAAUUUGGCAGUACAGUUUUCCAGUAAAGCUCAGGAGAAAUGGCAGCAUGACUUGCCACCAGUGCUAGCUGCAAGACAAGUCAGUCCAAAAUCUUAUUAGAAUAAAUAACCUAUUAAAGAGAGGCAAAUGCAGAAUUCCAAGGGAAGCUGUUUGUUCAGCAAUCAGGACCAUGCAAGUGAGUAGAAGCUUACACUG